CGAUGUAGCAAUACAUUGGUGGGGACCGGCGCACGGGUGAGUAACGCGUAUGCAACCUACCUAUCAGAGGGGAAUAACCCGGCGAAAGUCGGACUAAUACCGCAUAAAACAGGGGUUCCACAUGGAAAUAUUUGUUAAAGAAUUAUCGCUGAUAGAUGGGCAUGCGUUCCAUUAGAUAGUUGGUGAGGUAACGGCUCACCAAGUCCACGAUGGAUAGGGGUUCUGAGAGGAAGGUCCCCCACACUGGUACUGAGACACGGACCAGACUCCUACGGGAGGCAGCAGUGAGGAAUAUUGGUCAAUGGGCGAGAGCCUGAACCAGCCAAGUCGCGUGAAGGAUGAAGGAUCUAUGGUUUGUAAACUUCUUUUAUAUGGGAAUAAAGUGAGGAACGUGUUCCUUUUUGUAUGUACCAUAUGAAUAAGCAUCGGCUAACUCCGUGCCAGCAGCCGCGGUAAUACGGAGGAUGCGAGCGUUAUCCGGAUUUAUUGGGUUUAAAGGGUGCGUAGGUGGUUAAUUAAGUCAGCGGUGAAAGUUUGUGGCUCAACCAUAAAAUUGCCGUUGAAACUGGUUGACUUGAGUAUAUUUGAGGUAGGCGGAAUGCGUGGUGUAGCGGUGAAAUGCAUAGAUAUCACGCAGAACUCCGAUUGCGAAGGCAGCUUACUAAACUAUAACUGACACUGAAGCACGAAAGCGUGGGGACCAAACAGGAUUAGAUACCCUGGUAGUCCACGCAGUAAACGAUGAUUACUAGCUGUUUGCGAUACACAGUAAGCGGCACAGCGAAAGCGUUAAGUAAUCCACCUGGGGAGUACGCCGGCAACGGUGAAACU
RNAcentral lists this ribosomal RNA (831 nucleotides) under uncultured bacterium. RNAcentral describes it as "bacterial SSU rRNA". It matches the Rfam family "Bacterial small subunit ribosomal RNA", at positions 72 to 901 of the family's 1533-position model. The record is from RNAcentral.